UGGGGAAUAUUGCACAAUGGAGGGAACUCUGAUGCAGCGACGCCGCGUGAGUGAUGAAGGAAUUCGUUUCGUAAAACUCUGUUCUAUGGGAAGAAAAGGACUGUACCAUAGGAGAAAGCUCCGGCUAAAUACGUGCCAGCAGCCGCGGUAAUACGUAUGGAGCGAGCGUUGUCCGGAAUUAUUGGGCGUAAAGGGUGCGCAGGCGGCUUUACAAGUUGGAUGUGAAAUAUUGUGGCUCAACCACAAACGUGCAUCCAAAACUGCAAAGCUUGAGUUAAGGAGAGGUAAGUGGAAUUCCUAGUGUAGCGGUGGAAUGCGUAGAUAUCAGGAGGAAUACCGGUGGCGAAGGCGACUUACUGGACUUAAACUGACGCUCAGGCACGAAAGCGUGGGGAGCAAACAGG
This 404-nucleotide ribosomal RNA is filed under the name Fusobacteriota bacterium. Its description in RNAcentral is "Fusobacteria bacterium partial 16S ribosomal RNA". It matches the Rfam family "Bacterial small subunit ribosomal RNA", at positions 355 to 776 of the family's 1533-position model. The record is from RNAcentral. Lineage: Bacteria; Fusobacteriati; Fusobacteriota.